CUACGUGUUUUCUUUUCUCUGGGUUCAAAGCCAAAUUUGGCUCUUUCAUGUUAGUAGUACAAAGAAAAGUAAAAAUAUUGAUGAGGAAAUUUUCCAAUAGUAAUAAUAGUAUAGCUUAGAUAGGAUUUUAUUUUAUUUUUUUUUCAUUGUAGAUACCAAGUUUUUAGGUUUAGGAUUGUUUAGUUCUUUUACAAAAGUUUUUUUUUUACAAGUUUGAUUUCAC
RNAcentral lists this long non-coding RNA (223 nucleotides) under Vigna radiata. RNAcentral's name for it is "long non-coding RNA (VRAD_LNC011315)". Lineage: Eukaryota; Viridiplantae; Streptophyta; Magnoliopsida; Fabales; Fabaceae. The record is from RNAcentral.